RNAcentral lists this ribosomal RNA (431 nucleotides) under uncultured bacterium. RNAcentral's name for it is "partial 16S ribosomal RNA". It matches the Rfam family "Bacterial small subunit ribosomal RNA", at positions 29 to 507 of the family's 1533-position model. The record is from RNAcentral.
AGCGAACGCUGGCGGCAGGCUUAACACAUGCAAGUCGAGCGCCCCGCCAGGGGAGCGGCAGACGGGAGAGUAACACGUGGGAACAUACCUUUUGGUUCGGAACAACUGAGGGAAACUUCAGCUAAUACCGGAUAAGCCCUUACGGGGAAAGAUUUAUCGCCGAAAGAUUGGCCCGCGCCUGAUUAGCUAGUUGGUGAGGUAACGGCUCACCAAGGCGACGAUCAGUAGCUGGUCUGAGAGGAUGAUCAGCCUCACUGGGACUGAGACACGGCCCAGACUCCUACGGGAGGCAGCAGUGGGGAAUAUUGGACAAUGGGGGCAACCCUGAUCCAGCCAUGCCGCGUGAGUGAUGAAGGCCUUAGGGUUGUAAAGCUCUUUUGCCCGGGAAGAUAAUGACGGUACCGGGAGAAUAAGCCCCGGCUAACUUCGUG